GCGAGUAAUCGGCGCCGGGCGGGCGCUGCCUUGACCUGGAGCGAAACGUUCCGCCGAGAACACGGGCGCGAGGGGAGACGAGCAUUUGAUGGUGUGGCGCAGGAUCGCUUAAGUGAGACAGUGGUGAGCCCGGGAGGACGCGCGGCAGACAGGGGAGAGGCGAGGCCCGCUGGGUCUGCGCCCCAGGGAAGGCGAGGCACGGGAGAGGAAGGACACGGCCGGGUCGGCAGCUGGGCUGGAGAGAAGCUGUCAUUCUCAGAGUAGAAGACAGGCAAAUACAGAGGAUAAAUCUCACAGGGGCAGAGCCUCGUGCUGAAACCAGGACCCUGGUAAGGAUCACUUGACUUGCACUCGAUGAACCAUUGGAACCUCAGGUGAACAAUCUCGAGACUUAAAACUCCAUUAAGGUAAGGGGACCCUCACACUCUUGUGAGCUUGCCCUCCUGGUGUACCAACAUGUUCUCUGGCCAAAUGGACUCAAAUCAGGCUGUAAAUCCCCUUGUGUUUCUUGCAGGCAGAGGGGAAGUGAGCUCAUUUUGAACUGUGCCCAAGGCAGAGCCUGCCCUUGAGGGAAGGCAUUUUACCUGAGCCUGUUGGACAGGAGCUAGGGAAACAUCAAUGCUAACUCCUCUAACUUGACAAAGGGGAAGGUAAACCCCAGCUCUGACACCCUCUGCCUUGUCCCCGCCCUAAGGACAGAAGAAACUUACCUGGAGGUGCUCCGGAAGGUGGGUCUAAGACCUGCACAGGCUCAAUAGGACACUGAUACUGUGUCACAGGAUCGGGGAACACUUCCUUCCCCCAUGUGCUACCACCACACCGACCCUGUGUUUCCGGCCCCUCUAGUGUGAACCAGGCAAGAGCAAGGCUGAGAUGAAACACUGUACUGCUUGCAGUAGAGCGUCCUUGGCUGGGUCUACAGGCAGGAGGCACCAACAGUCUGCAUGGAUGGAGCUGGUGCCUCUGGAGUAGAAAAGGGACAGCUCCCUGCAAAGAGAAGGGAUGGGGCCCACACUAGCCUGACCCUAGUGUGCCCCUGCUGCCAGAGUAGCAAUGACUCCAGCCCCGGCAGCAAGCUCCAAAAGAAACUCAGCAGUAAAUCUUGUCCUAUUCAAGCAGAGAGAAUCUGAAACUGGAGAUAUGGAGCCAAGAACCAGGACUCAGUGGGGUUCACACCAUCUGCUGCCCAUCCCCUGGUGGACUCUGAAGAGCCAAGUGUACGUGUGCACCUGUGCGUGAGAUGAAAUAUGAGACAGCAGUUCUGUAUCACCGCUAAACACAUGAGCUGAGGACUAAUAUUCAGUGGCCAUGACUCGGUGCCAACGCUUUCCUUGACCUUAAUCCAGUUGAUGAAGUUGUUCACGUCGAAAGUAUAUAUUUUGUCUGUAAGACAUAAUAAAAGGGUUUUUACACUUUGA
This is a non-coding RNA of Heterocephalus glaber (naked mole-rat), 1418 nucleotides long. The record is from RefSeq and is a predicted model, not a curated record. NCBI's taxonomy places the organism in Eukaryota, Metazoa, Chordata, Mammalia, Rodentia, Bathyergidae.